GGUAGGAUGGCUGAGUGAUUAAGCGGUGGUUUGUAGCUCCAUUGACAGAGGUCUGAAUUCCUCUUCCUGCCA
Molecule: transfer RNA, 72 nt
Filed under: Amphiprion ocellaris (clown anemonefish)
Lineage: Eukaryota; Metazoa; Chordata; Actinopteri; Pomacentridae
Description: tRNA-Tyr
Rfam family: tRNA
About the family: Transfer RNA (tRNA) molecules are approximately 80 nucleotides in length. Their secondary structure includes four short double-helical elements and three loops (D, anti-codon, and T loops). Further hydrogen bonds mediate the characteristic L-shaped molecular structure. tRNAs have two regions of fundamental functional importance: the anti-codon, which is responsible for specific mRNA codon recognition, and the 3' end, to which the tRNAs corresponding amino acid is attached (by aminoacyl-tRNA synthetases). tRNAs cope with the degeneracy of the genetic code in two manners: having more than one tRNA (with a specific anti-codon) for a particular amino acid; and 'wobble' base-pairing, i.e. permitting non-standard base-pairing at the 3rd anti-codon position.
Source: RNAcentral